AACGCACAUGGCACCUGACAGGACAUCUGUCAAGUAUACCUGUUUGAGCACAGGAGCAAAAGAUAGGGGCGUUGAGGCAGUCAUGCCUUGAGGUGUUUGAGUUGAGGCUCAGGCAGGGUGAGAGGAUUGAUGGCAACAAUCAUCUCAAAUCAGCUCAUCCCAGUCUGUGCCUUUAAACGAGUAGUUUCAGGCCGAGAGCCGGUGUGGUAGCAGGACAGCGUCUUGACAUCGCAGGCACUCGGGGGACGAAGCUUUGUGUGGGUGUGUGGGGUGUAGGGUGAGAUGAGUGCGGGAUGCGGCAAUUGGUUGCGUCCCGUGCUUACAUCCCAUUCCCCUCCUCCUCCUCCUUCAACCAUCACCAGUCUCAAAUCAGGCAAGACUACCCGCUGAACUUAA
RNAcentral lists this unclassified non-coding RNA (396 nucleotides) under uncultured fungus. RNAcentral describes it as "partial contains internal transcribed spacer 2 and large subunit ribosomal RNA". The record is from RNAcentral. Lineage: Eukaryota; Fungi.